ACCUUGUGAUUCGGCUACCCACAUCAAAACGCAACAACAUCUAUAUGUCUUUUUUUUUUGCCAUUAUCUUCGCUCCGCUGCCACUUUUACGGGUAGAUUACCUAAAAACCGAAAGCACAAAGACCAUAACGCCACUCCCCCCCUCCAGAAUCUAUUCCUGCCUUGCUCACUCACUCGUGCUCGCUUGUGUAUCUUUUUGCUCGUCUUUUUUUUUCCCUGUUGCACCCGUCCCCUUCUCCCUCCCUCCAACGAUCACAGAGCCGCGGUCGUGCACUUUGGGAUUUGACGGAUCUUGAGAGGGCCAAAGAAGCACCAGAACGCAAAAAAAAAUGCGCGCAACAACAGCACACACCUUCAGCCAGCAAACAAAAAGGUCGGAGAAAGGGAAGCGGGAAUAUCAAAGGCUGAAUGAAGCCACCCACCCGCAUACACAUACAAGCAUACAUCUCUCUCUAUAUGUAUCCAUAUAUCUAGACGUAUAACUAUAUAUAUAUAUAAACAGAUAGAGAUACACAUAUACAGAUAGGCGCGUAAACUAGGACCAACAUAUCCCUCUCAGACACUCGCCCCACACACCUCCCCAGAAUGCCCCGACGUUUCUUCCCUUAGCUGUCGUUCACUACGGUGUAGGUGUACCCAGAAACGGUGAAUCAUGACAAAUCUCUAUUCUUCUGUCUAGCAGCUAGUUGGCGAGAUCAGCUCCAUCCACUGGAACGAAAAAGGAACCAAACAGUUGGCUUCGUCCGAGUGGUGCCCAAAGGGCUGCUUUGCUAUUUUUUUUUUGCUAACGUUGGUGAAACGCGCAUGUGAACUUCUUUCUCGCCUUCUAAAACGUUUUUCUCGCACGCUUCAGUCGCGGGGCCGGGUGUUUUUUUUUUUCUGCUUAUUUGUCUCGUCACGUUCCCACUGCGAAAAAAAAAAGUGUCGUGCCCUCUUGUGCUGGGGGUCUCUGCGGUUUCUUUCGGCCGGCCUCCGGCAGCGUCGCACGAGCGUGCGUUCGUGUGUGUCGGUCGUGAUAGCUCCUCCUUUUCCUCUCUCUAUGCUGAGUAGGAUGCGAACUGUUUCUGCUGGCUUGCGUGCUAGGUCGAGUCAGCUCUACUGCGGCCAACCCCUAUCAUGUCGGCCACCGGGUGAGAGAUGAUGGAUAAGGAAGGGUGAACCCCACACUUGUAUAG
This 1175-nucleotide unclassified non-coding RNA is filed under the name Leishmania donovani. RNAcentral describes it as "gene:unknown". Lineage: Eukaryota; Euglenozoa; Kinetoplastea; Trypanosomatida; Trypanosomatidae. The record is from RNAcentral.